Molecule: ribosomal RNA, 1514 nt
Filed under: bioreactor metagenome
Description: bacterial LSU rRNA
Rfam family: Bacterial large subunit ribosomal RNA
Source: RNAcentral
AAUGGAGGUAGAGCACUGAAUUGCCUAGGGGGCUUCACAGCUUACCGAAGCAUAUCAAACUCCGAAUGCCAUAUAGAUGAUGAUCAGGAGUCAGACUAUCGGAGAUAAGUUCGAUAGUCAAAAGGGAAAGAGCCCAGACCACCAGCUAAGGUCCCAAAGUGCGUGUUAAGUGGAAAAGGAUGUGAGAUUUCGAAGACAACUAGGAUGUUGGCUUAGAAGCAGCCAUGCAUUCAAAGAGUGCGUAAUAGCUCACUAGUCGAGAGGUCUUGCGCCGAAAAUGUCCGGGGCUAAAACACGCCACCGAAGCUGUGGAUUGGUACGUAAGUAUCAGUGGUAGAGGAGCAUUCUUAGAUUGGAGAAGCUGUACCGUAAGGAGCAGUGGAGAGCUAAGAAGAGAGAAUGCCGGAAUGAGUAGCGAGAGAGAAGUGAGAAUCUUCUCGGCCGAAUAUCUAAGGUUUCCAGAGUAAAGCUGAUCUUCUCUGGGUAAGUCGGGACCUAAGGUGAGGGCGAAAGCCGUAGCCGAUGGACAACUAGUUGAAAUUCUAGUACCGCAUAUAAACAGAACUGUGGGGACGCAGGAGGAUAACAAGAGCCAGGAAAGGAAAAACUGGUGCAAGCACAAAGGCCGUUGGAUAGGCAAAUCCGUCCAGCUAAGGUUGAAGUGUGACGCGGAUCGAAUUAAAGUAGAGAAGCUUGUGAAUCCAUACUGCCAAGAAAAGCCGCUAUUGUUUUAUAUGUGCCCGUACCGCAAACCGACACAGGUAGAUGAGGAGAGAAUCCUAAGGCCGACGGGAGAAGCGUUGUUAAGGAACUCGGCAAAAUGACCCCGUAACUUCGGGAGAAGGGGUGCCAUCUUCGGAUGGCCGCAGAGAAUAGGCCCAAGCGACUGUUUAGCAAAAACACAGGUCUCUGCAAAACCGAAAGGUGAAGUAUAGGGCUGACGCCUGCCCGGUGCUGGAAGGUUAAGGGGAAGGAUUAGCGUAAGCGAAGUCUAGAACUUAAGCCCCAGUAAACGGCGGCCGUAACUAUAACGGUCCUAAGGUAGCGAAAUUCCUUGUCGGGUAAGUUCCGACCCGCACGAAAGGCGUAACGAUUUGGGCACUGUCUCGACAACGCGCCCGGUGAAGUUGUAGUACCGGUGAAGAUGCCGGUUACCCGCGACAGGACGGAAAGACCCCAUGGAGCUUUACUCUAGCUUGAUAUUGGGAUUCGAUGUUACAUGUACAGGAUAGGAGGGAGGCUUUGAAGCGAGGACGCCAGUCUUCGUGGAGCCACUGUUGGGAUACCUCUCUUGUAAUAUUGGAUUUCUAACCUAGCACCCUAAACGGGUGUGGGGACACUGUCAGGUGGGGAGUUUGACUGGGGCGGUCGCCUCCGAAAGUGUAUCGGAGCGCUCAAAGGUCUUCUCAGAAUGGUUGGAAAUCAUUCGUAGAGUGCAAAGGCAUAAGAAGGCUUGACUGUGACACCGACGGGUGGAGCAGGUAGGAAACUAGGACUUAGUGAUCCGGUGGUAU